RNAcentral lists this ribosomal RNA (306 nucleotides) under uncultured bacterium. Its description in RNAcentral is "partial 16S ribosomal RNA". It matches the Rfam family "Bacterial small subunit ribosomal RNA", at positions 507 to 808 of the family's 1533-position model. The record is from RNAcentral.
GACAGCAUCGCCGCGGGAAUACGGAGGAUCCAAGCGUUAUCCGGAAUCAUUGGGUUUAAAGGGUCCGUAGGCGGUCUUGUAAGUCAGUGGUGAAAGCCCAUCGCUCAACGGUGGAACGGCCAUUGAUACUGCAGGACUUGAAUUAUUGGGAAGUAACUAGAAUAUGUAGUGUAGCGGUGAAAUGCUUAGAGAUUACAUGGAAUACCAAUUGCGAAGGCAGGUUACUACCAAUUGAUUGACGCUGAUGGACGAAAGCGUGGGUAGCGAACAGGAUUAGAUACCCCCGUAGUCCCUGUCUCUUAUACA